This 466-nucleotide ribosomal RNA is filed under the name uncultured bacterium. RNAcentral's name for it is "partial 16S ribosomal RNA". It matches the Rfam family "Bacterial small subunit ribosomal RNA", at positions 28 to 507 of the family's 1533-position model. The record is from RNAcentral.
GACGAACGCUGGCGGCGUGCUUAACACAUGCAAGUCGUGCGGUAAGGCCCUUUCGGGGGUACACGAGCGGCGACCGGGUGAGUAACACUUAAGCAACCUGCCCUUCCCUUUGGGAUAAGUGUCGGAAACGGUGGCCAAUGCCGGUAAUGACUUCUUCACUCAUGCGCGGUGGUGGAAAGCCUACGGGUGGUAUGGGGUGGGCUCGAGGUUUAUCCGCUUGUUGGUGGGGUGAUGGUCUACCAAGGCUUUGACGGGUCGACGACAUGGGAGGGGGGACGGGGACAAUAGGCCUGAGAGACGGCCCAGACUUCUACGUGAGGCAGUAGUGGGGAAUAUUGCACAAUGGGCGAACGCGUGUUCCAGCAAUCCCCCGUGCGUGAUGACGUCCUACGGGUUGUAAACCUCUGUCGCCUGAGACGAAGCGAGAGUGACGGUAGCAGGUAAAGAAGCAACGGCUAACUACGUG